RNAcentral lists this ribosomal RNA (577 nucleotides) under uncultured beta proteobacterium. RNAcentral's name for it is "bacterial SSU rRNA". It matches the Rfam family "Bacterial small subunit ribosomal RNA", at positions 97 to 670 of the family's 1533-position model. Lineage: Bacteria; Pseudomonadati; Pseudomonadota; Betaproteobacteria. The record is from RNAcentral.
GGCGAACGGGUGAGUAGAACAUCGGAACGUAUCCUCAAGUGGGGGAUAGCCCGGCGAAAGCCGGAUUAAUACCGCAUGAACUCUGAGGAGCAAAGCGGGGGACUUUCGGGCCUCGCGCUGGAGGAGCGGCCGAUGCCGGAUUAGCUUGUUGGUGGGGUAAGAGCCUACCAAGGCGACGAUCCGUAGCUGGUCUGAGAGGAUGAUCAGCCACACUGGAACUGAGACACGGUCCAGACUCCUACGGGAGGCAGCAGUGGGGAAUUUUGGACAAUGGGGGCAACCCUGAUCCAGCCAUGCCGCGUGCGGGAAGAAGGCCUUCGGGUUGUAAACCGCUUUCAUACGGGACGAAAUGGUGCAGGUUAAUACCCUGUAUUGAUGACGGUACCGUAAGAAGAAGCACCGGCUAACUACGUGCCAGCAGCCGCGGUAAUACGUAGGGUGCGAGCGUUAAUCGGAAUUACUGGGCGUAAAGCGUGCGCAGGCGGCUCUUUAAGACAGGUGUGAAAUCCCCGGGCUUAACCUGGGAAUUGCGCUUGUGACUGGGGAGCUCGAGUGCGGCAGAGGGGGAUGGAAUUCC